This 425-nucleotide ribosomal RNA is filed under the name uncultured bacterium. RNAcentral describes it as "partial 16S ribosomal RNA". It matches the Rfam family "Bacterial small subunit ribosomal RNA", at positions 354 to 796 of the family's 1533-position model. The record is from RNAcentral.
GUGGGGAAUAUUGGACAAUGGGCGCAAGCCUGAUCCAGCCAUGCCGCGUGAGUGAUGAAGGCCUUAGGGUUGUAAAGCUCUUUCAGUGGGGACGAUAAUGACGGUACCCACAGAAGAAGCCCCGGCUAACUUCGUGCCAGCAGCCGCGGUAAUACGAAGGGGGCUAGCGUUGUUCGGCUUUACUGGGCGUAAAGCGCACGUAGGCGGAUCGUUAAGUCGGGGGUGAAAUCCUGGAGCUCAACUCCAGAACUGCCUUCGAUACUGGCGAUCUUGAGUCCGGAAGAGGUGGGUGGAACUCCUAGUGUAGAGGUGGAAUUCGUAGAUAUUAGGAAGAACACCAGUGGCGAAGGCGGCUCACUGGUCCGGUACUGACGCUGAGGUGCGAAAGCGUGGGGAGCAAACAGGAUUAGAAACCCUGGUAGUCC